AAGUUCUUACUUUUCUGAUAUAAGAGCAAGAAACCCAAGAUGUUAUUCCAAAACCAUAUUGCACAAAAUUACGAGUUCAUCUAAUGGUCACAUCAUUUAUGGCACAGAAGCGACUACAAACUGGGCAAUGUAAGAUAGCUUUUGCAUAAUUUGGUUCAUUUGCUCUUAUAUCAGAAAAGUAAGAACUUUUGAGUUCCACUGCCAAGUUGGUGUGACUGGUCAUGUGAAUUUUGCAUAAAUUAUGUCCUCUUAAUCUUCGAAAAUGUUCCAGUCU
RNAcentral lists this unclassified non-coding RNA (274 nucleotides) under Hevea brasiliensis (rubber tree). The record is from RNAcentral. Lineage: Eukaryota; Viridiplantae; Streptophyta; Magnoliopsida; Malpighiales; Euphorbiaceae.